CGUUAGCGGCGGACGGGUGAGUAACACGUGGGUAACCUACCUAUAAGACUGGGAUAACUUCGGGAAACCGGAGCUAAUACCGGAUAAUAUUUCGAACCGCAUGGUUCGAUAGUGAAAGANGGUUUUGCUAUCACUUAUAGAUGGACCUGCGCCGUAUUAGCUAGUUGGUAAGGUAACGGCUUACCAAGGCGACGAUACGUAGCCGACCUGAGAGGGUGAUCGGCCACACUGGAACUGAGACACGGUCCAGACUCCUACGGGAGGCAGCAGGG
RNAcentral lists this ribosomal RNA (272 nucleotides) under uncultured Staphylococcus sp. Its description in RNAcentral is "partial 16S ribosomal RNA". It matches the Rfam family "Bacterial small subunit ribosomal RNA", at positions 90 to 354 of the family's 1533-position model. Lineage: Bacteria; Bacillati; Bacillota; Bacilli; Caryophanales; Staphylococcaceae. The record is from RNAcentral.